ACCUGAGACAGGCUGUCGAAUGCCCCUUCCCCACUGUGCAUCCAUGUAACUGCUCCCAACCAUCUCGCAGUGUAAAAAGAGGUCCGCGGAGCUGGCAGACGCGGUCAAAGAACAGGAAAAAAUCCGCAAGUCACUGAGAGAAGAGGUGGAGCUGGAGAUGAAGAAACAUCACACAGCUCAAGAGAGCAUCAAAAGGCGUGUUGCCCCGAAGGAGGUGAGAUGCCGGAAGGAGCACAUAAGCUCCCUAAUGUAUGAAACUGUGGCUGCACGACUGGACGAGCAGACGGCAGCACAGAGGCGCCCACUCACUACCUGGCUGCGGCGAUUUCUGCUGUUCUUGGGCCUGCUGCAGCUUGUGUUCUUCAUCCUGGUCAUGCUGGACAGGGACACCCUCCACUGCGUCUUGCCUGUGGAGCUGGCAACUGCCCUUGGCAGCCGUCCACCAAAACCCAUUCUAUUCUGACCCCAGAACACACCAUGAUGGCCCUUCAUCAUGGCACCACUGGGGCCACACAAGCAUUAAAUGCAUCCCCCUUGUCACCAAAAACAUCAAUAAAAUCAACCCCAACCCCUAUAAAUGUGUCAUCUCUGCAUGAUUCUGUGAAACCCCAUUGACAAAUGUCUCCUGAACCACAGGAAGGAGACAGUGGGAUUCUGGAGCUUAGGAAUAGGAACCAGAGAUUCAGUGAGGGUGGAAAAGGCCUCCAAGAGGCCCCACCAUCCACCUACCACCAAUAUGUCCCACUAAACCAUGCCCCCGGGUACAACAUCCAAUGUUUCUUGAACAUGACCAGCGUGUCCAUCACCUCCUCAGGCAGCCCAUUCCAGCACCUGUCCAUUCCCUUAGAGAAGAAGCAUUUCCUAACAGCCGCAGACUACACCAGUGGUAAGAAAAUAUCUGAGGAAGGCUUUCUCAGAAUUCUGACUGCAAAACCGAGCACCUUCACAUUACCUUGCUGACUUGCAGUGAGGAAUUCUGUGGGCCCUCAUUAAUCCCUGAAAGCCCAAAUGACAUCUUGCCACUUCUCCAUGCAAGCUAAUAGGAAAAGGCAAACCUGCCCAAACGACCAAAGCGUUCAAUUGAACACAAAGAGGGAAACAGGAUUUUGGAGGUAGAGUUAGUUUAUUUCUUCAAGUCUUAAACUAAUUUCACAAGGCUGAUAACCAACGAGUUGGAGGCUCACUCCCUUCUCCAAAGGCAUAGGUAUGACAUUCGGAAAGCAGAGCGUCCUGGNGAAGGAGACAGUGGGAUUCUGGAGCUUAGGAAUAGGAACCAGAGAUUCAGUGAGGGUGGAAAAGACCUCCAAGAGGCCCCACCAUCCACCUACCACCAAUAUGUCCCACUAAACCAUGCCCCCGGGUACAACAUCCAAUGUUUCUUGAACACGACCAGCGUUGGUGACUCCAUCACCUCCUCAGGCAGCCCAUUCCAGCACCGAAACGAAAUUUCCCUGACCGCAUGGGAAGUUUUCUGUUCAACUCCCAAUAUUCCAUCGCCCAGGAAUUCAAAGCACAAACAGCAAUGUGCAGAUGCUGUUGCACCAGGCAGUAUGUAUACACACAGCCCUACAGUAAACUAGUCCUCAGAGGUUUCUA
Molecule: long non-coding RNA, 1596 nt
Organism: Coturnix japonica (Japanese quail)
Lineage: Eukaryota; Metazoa; Chordata; Aves; Galliformes; Phasianidae
Source: Ensembl